RNAcentral lists this long non-coding RNA (991 nucleotides) under Nicotiana benthamiana. RNAcentral's name for it is "long non-coding RNA (NBEN_LNC005582)". The record is from RNAcentral. Lineage: Eukaryota; Viridiplantae; Streptophyta; Magnoliopsida; Solanales; Solanaceae.
CAGCAUCCUUCCCUCCAAGAACUUCCCACCUUGCUCUUGGGGAGGCUCGAACUCACAACCUCUCGGUUGGAAGUGAGGGUUGCUUACCAUCAGAGCAAUGUCUUUAAAAAAGGAACAAGAAAUAAAGAAAAAAAAAUAAUAAAAUAAAGAUGGAGUCAAAUUUGAGUGUGAAAUAGGUUAUGGUAAAAAUAACAAUAAUACGAUUUGGAAAAAAAUAAAUGAAUAAAAGAGAAAAAAUUUAAAAAAAAAAAUAGAAAGAAAAUGAGAAAAAAGAAAAUGAGAAUAGAAAAGAAAAAAAGGAAAAAAGCAUAGAAAUAAGAAAGAAUUGGAGAAUGAAGAAAAAAUCCCCCACAAUAAUUAGUUUAUGGGUAGAAAAAUAAAUGGGUAGACAAGGGUAAAUAGUUUUGUUUUUGUGGGUAACUGUGUUAAAACCCCAAAAGAAUUCGACUUAAAAGGUUUCUACACAGUUGUUACUUGUCUAUUCCUUUUUAUGGUAGUUCCUUGUAGUUCCCUUUUGAAAUAGGGGGAUUUAAACUGUUGGUUUCCUAUUAUACAAGAGUAUUUUAGAGUAGCUAGUUGAUCCUUGAAUCUGUUCCAUGUAGGCGUCUUAACACAAUUGGAUGUAUCACCUUCUAAACACCUUUAUAUUUUUUCUGUUAAGCAAGGUACGAUCUGGGCGUCUUACCACAAUUGGAUGUAUCACCUUCUAUACACCUUUAUAUUUUUUCUGUUAUGCAAGGUAGGGUCUGCUUAAAAUUUUACCUGAAUAAUCCCAAUUUUAUUUGCACACACAGCUGGAUUAGACAUGCCUAGUAUUAUUUUCCAGAUCCAGACGUCAUAAUUAGCCUUUUAGACAGAUCUGCUGCUCUUUCUCUCCUCUGGUUUUUAGCAUUCACAUGUGUAUUUAUUUUAUGUUUGUUGAUUUGGACUGUAUCUUAUGGUUGAAAGAAAUGGCACUGUCAUCGGAGGGUAUCAAGAUAUUUGAGCAUGU